UACAGAGGGUGCAAGCGUUAAUCGGAUUUACUGGGCGUAAAGGGCGCGUAGGUGGUUAUUUAAGUGAGAUGUGAAAGCCCCGGGCUCAACCUGGGAACUGCAUCUUAUACUGGGUAACUGGAGUGCAGUAGAGGGUAGUGGAAUUUCCGGUGUAGCGGUGAAAUGCGUAGAUAUCGGAAGGAACACCAGUGGCGAAGGCGGCUACCUGGACUGAGACUGACACUGAGGCGCGAAAGCGUGGGGAGCAAACAGG
This 253-nucleotide ribosomal RNA is filed under the name uncultured bacterium. RNAcentral's name for it is "partial 16S ribosomal RNA". It matches the Rfam family "Bacterial small subunit ribosomal RNA", at positions 524 to 776 of the family's 1533-position model. The record is from RNAcentral.